GGUGAUGUAGCUCAGUCGGUAGAGCAAAGGACUGAAAAUCCUUGUGUCGAUGGUUCGAUUCCAUUCAUCACCA
This 73-nucleotide transfer RNA is filed under the name Varroa jacobsoni. RNAcentral's name for it is "tRNA-Phe". It matches the Rfam family "tRNA". Rfam says of the family: Transfer RNA (tRNA) molecules are approximately 80 nucleotides in length. Their secondary structure includes four short double-helical elements and three loops (D, anti-codon, and T loops). Further hydrogen bonds mediate the characteristic L-shaped molecular structure. tRNAs have two regions of fundamental functional importance: the anti-codon, which is responsible for specific mRNA codon recognition, and the 3' end, to which the tRNAs corresponding amino acid is attached (by aminoacyl-tRNA synthetases). tRNAs cope with the degeneracy of the genetic code in two manners: having more than one tRNA (with a specific anti-codon) for a particular amino acid; and 'wobble' base-pairing, i.e. permitting non-standard base-pairing at the 3rd anti-codon position. RNAcentral also lists the same sequence under 1 other name. The record is from RNAcentral. Lineage: Eukaryota; Metazoa; Arthropoda; Arachnida; Mesostigmata; Varroidae.